CUGAGUGCAGUAGCUUUUAAUGAGUUUCCAGCCCUGCAGAGGACUCUUUUCUAGCUCCUAUUUCUGCACCUAAUCAUGCUGUAAAGUGAGGUUUUUGUGACCCAGGUGAGCAAAUAUUGUCUCUUAGUCUAAACCCGUUUGGCUGCUGCUUUGCUGAGUUUCCUGCAGGAAUAGCAGCUGUAAAACCGAGGCAGCCUCUGGGAAAACUGGGAAUCUAACCUGCAGCUGGUGCUCAUUCAGCUAAGAAUAUAAAAACGAAAUGACAUUAGAUUUUAUUUCCUCAAAAAAAACAAAAACAAAAAACCCCCCAGAAAUUGCAGGUGUCUUCAGUGGAAUCUGCUCAUGAAAGUGAAUUCUUUCCUUAUGACUGCUUCACAACUAAAAAUUAAAAACAAUUAUUCAGACUUUCAUCAGGUGCAUCAGGUGUUUUAUUAGACGUACCCCUUGUUUUUAUGACAGGAGCUGUCAUCUUGUUUUGUUCAUCUUGCCACAACGCUGACACCUCCUGGUAACAUCCCAUAACUACAAUGAUUAAAUCACAAUUCAACAUCAGAAUUUCAGCUGACCGAAAUUUUGUUGUUAUGAUAAUUAAAAGAAAAUAUAUAUAGCAAAAACAGUAAUAAAAGACGCUUUUAGAGCAGACGAUUCAAGAGUUGAUUCUAUGUUGUUGUUGUUGUUUUAUUAUCACAGGGGGGAGAGAGAGUGAGAAACGGUGACAUUAUCUAAGACAGUUUUUGUAUUUCUAAAAACAAGGCACUCGUACUUAGUCCUUUUAAUCAGUUAUUUAUUUAUUCAUGCAAUUAACCCCUUAGGUGACCGGACAACCGGUAAGAUGGGUGAGGCCAACAUUCAGCUUUUCUUGUAAGGUCUUUUUUUUAUUUUUUUAUUGAGUAUGUAAAAUUUAAAAUUUCAGAUUUUUCAUCUUUUCACAGGGAAUUCAGCUAAAUAGUUUUUAUUCAAACUGUGCAUUCAUUUUUAUUUUUAAUUUUCUGUUUUGCUUUGCGUUUGGUUAAAUUUCAUUUAUGUAUUGUGAUAUCUAGUUUGUCAAUAAAUAAAUAAAUAAAUAAAUACAAUAAAAUAGUCAAGAAAAAUUAUUAUAAAUUAU
Molecule: long non-coding RNA, 1105 nt
Organism: Astatotilapia calliptera (eastern happy)
Lineage: Eukaryota; Metazoa; Chordata; Actinopteri; Cichliformes; Cichlidae
Source: Ensembl